Molecule: ribosomal RNA, 253 nt
Filed under: uncultured bacterium
Lineage: Bacteria
Description: partial 16S ribosomal RNA
Rfam family: Bacterial small subunit ribosomal RNA
Source: RNAcentral
UACAGAGGUCCCAAGCGUUGUUCGGAUUCACUGGGCGUAAAGGGCGCGUAGGCGGUCGGAUAAGUCUUGUGUGAAAUCUUCGGGCUCAACUCGAAGUCUGCACAGGAAACUAUCUGGCUUGAGUGUGGGAGAGGUGAGUGGAAUUCCUGGUGUAGCGGUGAAAUGCGUAGAUAUCAGGAGGAACACCUGUGGCGAAAGCGGCUCACUGGACCACAACUGACGCUGAGGCGCGAAAGCUAGGGGAGCAAACAGG